AAUGCCUCUGAUUAGUGCUCGGGGAAUAGGUGAGCGUCCCGAACACCAAUCAGAGGCAGGUGAAAAUAAUAAGCAACCAUGCUAACUAAAACAAACUCAAGGAUGCACAAAACAGGAACUGGGGGAGUCCAAAACUAACCGAAAAUACCAAAUAAUUAUCCGGGCCACGGAUCAUGACACAAAAAGCAUGUUGAUUCAACGUUGUAUUCGUGUUGUAGAAUAUUAGUUGGGAAAUUACCAACAUUUUAUGGUCAAAUCCAUGUCAGAACCAAACUUUGACUAGACGUCAUCAAAAAGCAUGUUGUUUCAACGUUGUAUUUGUGUUGUAGAAUAUUGCCUGAGGUUGUCUCUAACAUUAUGCCGGAAGAAUGAGAAUUUGUUCAGGUCUUCAUCGACGUCUGAGAGUCGUGUUGGCCGCCAGCAGUAGAAGUUGUCGGGGUGAUUCCGGGACCAGCAAGGUGACCUGCUGAUGGACCAUCAGAGAUGUGUGGGGGUCAUUGCUGGGCCCGUCUGCGUGGACAUGUCACACCGCAGGAGAAAAGCAGGAAACAGAAGAGGAACUGACUGCGGCAGUGGCGAUCGAUGAUGUUUAAGAGGGGAGAAGGAGGAAAGAUCAAGAGGAAGAGGUGGAGUAUCCGCAGGACUACAGCAGAAGCAAAUCAAGAACGAUCCGAGAAGGAGCCCCAGGGGAAGACAACAUUACCGGCAGCUGAUAAGCUGACCAAGACGAGCAGCGGAGGAGGAGGAGCCGA
Molecule: long non-coding RNA, 752 nt
Organism: Nerophis ophidion (straightnose pipefish)
Lineage: Eukaryota; Metazoa; Chordata; Actinopteri; Syngnathiformes; Syngnathidae
Exons: 3
Source: RefSeq, a predicted model, not a curated record